GACGAACGCUGGCGGCGUGCUUAACACAUGCAAGUCGAACGGAAAGGCCUUUUCGGCGGUACUCGAGUGGCGAACGGGUGAGUAACACGUGGGUGAUCUGCCCUGCACUCUGGGAUAAGCCCGGGAAACUGGGUCUAAUACCGGAUAGGACCGCACUUUAGUGUGUGUGGUGGAAAGUUUUUUCGGUGUAGGAUGAGCCCGCGGCCUAUCAGCUUGUUGGUGGGGUAAUGGCCUACCAAGGCGGCGACGGGUAGCCGGACUGAGAGGUUGGUCGGCCACAUUGGGACUGAGAUACGGCCCAGACUCCUACGGGAGGCAGCAGUGGGGAAUAUUGCACAAUGGGCGCAAGCCUGAUGCAGCGACGCCGCGUGGGGGAUGACGGCCUUCGGGUUGUAAACUCCUUUCGCCAGGGACGAAGCGUUUUGUGACGGUACCUGGAGAAGAAGCACCGGCUAACUACGUG
Molecule: ribosomal RNA, 463 nt
Filed under: uncultured bacterium
Lineage: Bacteria
Description: partial 16S ribosomal RNA
Rfam family: Bacterial small subunit ribosomal RNA
Source: RNAcentral